CGCAUCUGUGCAUGCAGCAUAUCAAUAAGCGGAGGAAAAGAAACUAACAAGGAUUCCCCUAGUAACGGCGAGUGAAGCGGGAAGAGCUCAAAUUUGAAAUCUUAAAGGGUUUCCCUUUACGAAUUGUAGUUUAAAGAAGUGUUUUCUGUUGAGGUUUUGGUAAAAGUUCUUUGGAAUAGGACAUCAUAGAGGGUGAGAAUCCCGUAUUUGACCUUUACUUUCAACUUUGUGAUACACUUUCAAAGAGUCGGAUUGUUUGGGAAUGCAGUCCAAAAUGGGUGGUAAAUUUCAUCUAAAGCUAAAUAUUGGCGAGAGACCGAUAGCGAACAAGUACCAUGAGGGAAAGAUGAAAAGAACUUUGAAAAGAGAGUUAAACAGUACGUGAAAUUGUCAAAAGGGAAGCGUUUGACACCAGUGUUGUUUUUCUGAAAAUCAAUUAAAGAACUGUUUAUGCUAAGUUGUUUAGACUUUAUCAGCUAACUGUUUAGUUUUGAGCUUUUCUUUAAUGCACUUUUCAGUUAACAAGUCAACAUCAAUUUCUUUUGCUGUAAAAAAGCUUGAGGAAGGUGGCUUGAGAUUCGUCUUAAGUGUUUAUAGCCUCUUGCCUAUGCAGUCGGAGAGAUUGAGGUCUGCAGCGUAGAUCCUUCGGGGCUAAAUGCAUUUGUGCUAAGUUAUAGCAUUUUAUAGACAACUUGUUGACUAUGAUUUGUCUUGUAGCUUACUCGCUUAUGUUAUUUUACCUACGCUUAGGAUGUUGAACGCGCACAGAGUCUC
Molecule: ribosomal RNA, 774 nt
Filed under: uncultured Neocallimastigales
Lineage: Eukaryota; Fungi; Neocallimastigomycota; Neocallimastigomycetes; Neocallimastigales
Description: partial large subunit ribosomal RNA
Rfam family: Eukaryotic large subunit ribosomal RNA
Source: RNAcentral